AACGAACGCUGGCGGCGUGCCUAACACAUGCAAGUCGAACGGAAACGCCCUGCUUUUGUGCGCUGCUCGAGUGGCGAACGGGUGAGUAACACGUGAGUAACCUGCCCUUCACUUUGGGAUAACUUCAGGAAACUGAGGCUAAUACCGGAUAGGAUCUCCCGCUGCAUGGUGGGCGUUGGAUAGUUUAGGCGGUUGGGGAUGUACUCGCGGAUUAUCAGCUUGUUGGUUGGGUAGUGGCUUACCAAGGCUUUGACGGGUAGCCGGCCUGGGAGGAUGACCGGCCACGUUACGACGGAGCUACGACACAGACUCGAAUGGGAGGCAACGGUGGAGAGUAUUACACAGUGGGAGGGAGGCUGGUGCGACAACGCCACGUGGGGGAAGACGGCCUGCGGGUAGUGAACCGCUGUCGCCUGAGACGAAGCGUGAGUGACGGUAAUGGGUAAAGAAGCACCGGCUAACUACGUG
RNAcentral lists this ribosomal RNA (468 nucleotides) under uncultured bacterium. RNAcentral's name for it is "partial 16S ribosomal RNA". It matches the Rfam family "Bacterial small subunit ribosomal RNA", at positions 28 to 507 of the family's 1533-position model. The record is from RNAcentral.